AAGGAAAAGAGGAAAAAAAAGAAGAAGAAAAAAAGUGUGUGUGUGUGUGUGUGUCUGUGAUUGAAUGAUUCUUAUUUCUUGUAUUUU
RNAcentral lists this non-coding RNA (87 nucleotides) under Compsopogon caeruleus. The record is from RNAcentral. Lineage: Eukaryota; Rhodophyta; Compsopogonophyceae; Compsopogonales; Compsopogonaceae.